UACGUAGGGCGCAAGCGUUAUCCGGAAUUAUUGGGCGUAAAGAGCUCGUAGGCGGGUUGGUAAGUCCGCUGUGAAAGCCCGGAGCUUAACUCCGGAGGGUCGGUGGAUACUGCCAGUCUUGAAGGUGCUAGGGGGAGAUGGAAUUACCGGUGUAGCGGUGAAAUGCGUAGAUAUCGGGAGGAACACCGGUGGCGAAGGCGGUUCUCUGGGCCUUACCUGACGCUGAGGAGCGAAAGCGUGGGGAGCGAACAGG
This 253-nucleotide ribosomal RNA is filed under the name uncultured bacterium. Its description in RNAcentral is "partial 16S ribosomal RNA". It matches the Rfam family "Bacterial small subunit ribosomal RNA", at positions 524 to 776 of the family's 1533-position model. The record is from RNAcentral.